RNAcentral lists this ribosomal RNA (376 nucleotides) under uncultured bacterium. Its description in RNAcentral is "bacterial SSU rRNA". It matches the Rfam family "Bacterial small subunit ribosomal RNA", at positions 524 to 898 of the family's 1533-position model. The record is from RNAcentral.
CACGUAGGAGGCAAGCGUUAUUCGGAUUUACUGGGUGUAAAGCGCGUGUAGGCGGUUCGGAAAGUUGGAUGUGAAAGCUCCCGGCUUAACUGGGAGAGGCCGUUCAAAACUUCCGGACUAGAGAUUGGUAGAGGAAGAUGGAAUUCCGAGUGUAGUGGUGAAAUGCGCAGAUGUUCGGAGGAACACCAGUGGCGAAAGCGAUCUUCUAGACCAAAACUGACGCUCAGACGCGAAAGCUAGGGUAGCAAACGGGAUUAGAGACCCCGGUAGUCCUAGCCGUAAACGAUGUAGACUUGGCGUUGGUGGGUUCAAAUCCAUCAGUGCCGAAGCAAACGCGAUAAGUCUACCACCUGGGGACUACGGCCGCAAGGUUAAA